Molecule: ribosomal RNA, 492 nt
Filed under: uncultured bacterium
Lineage: Bacteria
Description: partial 16S ribosomal RNA
Rfam family: Bacterial small subunit ribosomal RNA
Source: RNAcentral
AGUGAACGCUGGCGGUAGGCCUAACACAUGCAAGUCGAACGGCAGCACAGUAAGAGCUUGCUCUUACGGGUGGCGAGUGGCGGACGGGUGAGGAAUACAUCGGAAUCUACUUUUUCGUGGGGGAUAACGUAGGGAAACUUACGCUAAUACCGCAUACGACCUACGGGUGAAAGCAGUGGAUCUUCGGACCUUGCGCGAUUGAAUGAGCCGAUGUCGGAUUAGCUAGUUGGCGGGGUAAAGGCCCACCAAGGCGACGAUCCGUAGCUGGUCUGAGAGGAUGAUCAGCCACACUGGAACUGAGACACGGUCCAGACUCCUACGGGAGGCAGCAGUGGGGAAUAUUGGACAAUGGGCGAAAGCCUGAUCCAGCCAUACCGCGUGGGUGAAGAAGGCCUUCGGGUUGUAAAGCCCUUUUGUUGGGAAAGAAAAGCAGCAGGUUAAUCCCCCGCUGUUCUGACGGUACCCAAAGAAUAAGCACCGGCUAACUUCGUG